AGUGAACGCUGGCGGUAGGCCUAACACAUGCAAGUCGAACGGCAGCACAGUAAGAGCUUGCUCUUACGGGUGGCGAGUGGCGGACGGGUGAGGAAUACAUCGGAAUCUACUUUUUCGUGGGGGAUAACGUAGGGAAACUUACGCUAAUACCGCAUACGACCUACGGGUGAAAGCAGGGGAUCUUCGGACCUUGCGCGAUUGAAUGAGCCGAUGUCGGAUUAGCUAGUGGGCGGGGUAAAGGCCCACCAAGGCGACGAUCCGUAGCUGGUCUGAGAGGAUGAUCAGCCACACUGGAACUGAGACACGGUCCAGACUCCUACGGGAGGCAGCAGUGGGGAAUAUUGGACAAUGGGCGCAAGCCUGAUCCAGCCAUACCGCGUGGGUGAAGAAGGCCUUCGGGUUGUAAAGCCCUUUUGUUGGGAAAGAAAAGCAGCAGGUUAAUACCCCGCUGUUCUGACGGUGCCCAAAGAAUAAGCACCGGCUAACUUCGUG
This 492-nucleotide ribosomal RNA is filed under the name uncultured bacterium. Its description in RNAcentral is "partial 16S ribosomal RNA". It matches the Rfam family "Bacterial small subunit ribosomal RNA", at positions 29 to 507 of the family's 1533-position model. The record is from RNAcentral.